GCGUGUGUGAAGAAGGCCUUCGGGUUGUAAAGCACUUUUGGCAGGAAAGAAAUAGCGCGUGCUAAUACCAUGCGCGAAUGACGGUACCUGCAGAAUAAGCACCGGCUAACUACGUGCCAGCAGCCGCGGUAAUACGUAGGGUGCAAGCGUUAAUCGGAAUUACUGGGCGUAAAGCGUGCGCAGGCGGCUUUGUAAGACGGAUGUGAAAGCCCCGGGCUCAACCUGGGAAGUGCAUUCGUGACUGCAAGGCUAGAGUGUGUCAGAGGGAGGUGGAAUUCCGCGUGUAGCAGUGAAAUGCGU
RNAcentral lists this ribosomal RNA (300 nucleotides) under uncultured bacterium. RNAcentral's name for it is "bacterial SSU rRNA". It matches the Rfam family "Bacterial small subunit ribosomal RNA", at positions 399 to 691 of the family's 1533-position model. The record is from RNAcentral.